ACUCAUUAAUUGAGCUCUGGUCUCCCAGUGUAAUUUCUAGUCCUAGCAUAAGAGAAAUGAGAAGGCGCCUAGGUGAUGAAUUUCCAUUUCUUUUACAGGAAAACACUGAAGUGAAAGUUUCCUAAGUGUAGACAUGAACUUUAACUGCAGAAAUAGCUGAUGCAGAUUGCUAGACAAUCUCUUAAUUACCAUAGAUGUACCUGAUAGUGUAGCCCACCAUACACUUAUGCUACAUGGUAUCAGUACUCCACUAGUCUGUGGAAUGUCGCUUCAUUGUAUAUUUUAGGCAUGGUACCAACAAAUAUGUAUCAAAAAAACAUUUGGCAUGAAAGUAAAUGCUGUAUCUAUGAAGAGUACUUAUUGUGAGUGGAGUUUUGAGGACUGGAUUUUAUUCAAUCAGAGACUUAGGUGAAUAUAAACUCCUAGGACACAUUAAUCUACUGUAAAGUUUCAAUACUAUAGACUUAGUUUAUUGUAUAUUGAUGUUUUCCUAAAUAUUAAACUAACUUAAAGCUUUAUACAGUGUGUAUAAUUUUAAUACUUUUGAUUUUUGUGAGAACAGUGCUUAAAAUGUAGCCAUUUUAUGAUUGUUUAAAACUAUUUCUUUGUAUGCAUAUUCUAUAUAUAUUUUUGCAUUAUAAAUACGUUUUUAAAAACAUUGUGAAAACCAGCUGUCACUUAGAACAGAGGCAGGAGGGUUGGUAUAGCUUUCAGAUCUAUAUGCACUGAUUCUCAUGUGCUCCCACAUCACUCCCCUACGUUGUAUCGUAUGAUUAACUGCACCUUCCUUUGUUCUGAUCAUAUGACAUUGGCAUUGCAUGUGAUGUCAUCCCAUGCAAUGCCUACUAACAGCUCCUUGAAGCACCUCAGCUCACACACAAGACUUGCUGAAUGUUGCAAACGGAAGUACUUUUACUAAAUAACCAGACUUUUCGGCUCUUAUGGAAAUAAUGAUUUCGUUGUGGGAAACAGACCGUCCUGUUUUUCCAGUGUCAUUCAUCAGCAUGUAAGUACUAGAUUAACUUAUCUUUCCAUUAUACUGUAGAGUUUACCUUUAAAAGUUGCCUGAGUUACUGACUUGUAUUUUAUUGAAAAAGAAUCAUUCAAUAAUUAUUGGGUUUCAAUAAUGAAAAAUAUUUUUAACAACUUAUGAAAUGGUCCUAUCUGUAUUUCUGCCUAGUAUUUUAUGUGAUGUUCUUUAUAUUUUCCAAGUAUAAAGCCAAAGUAUCAACUCUGAAAAACAUUGAUUCCCUGUUCACUGCAUUAUCAAAUACUCAGCCAAGAUUUACUCUUUUAUGUAAAAAUAAGUAUGCCUAUUUUAUUAAUGUACAAGCUUAACUUUCAUAAUAAAUGAUAAAAUUAUCUAG
This 1367-nucleotide long non-coding RNA is filed under the name Mus musculus (house mouse). Its description in RNAcentral is "long non-coding RNA chr7:39539045-39540412". Lineage: Eukaryota; Metazoa; Chordata; Mammalia; Rodentia; Muridae. The record is from RNAcentral.